This 253-nucleotide ribosomal RNA is filed under the name uncultured bacterium. RNAcentral describes it as "partial 16S ribosomal RNA". It matches the Rfam family "Bacterial small subunit ribosomal RNA", at positions 524 to 776 of the family's 1533-position model. The record is from RNAcentral.
UACAGAGGGGGCAAGCGUUAUUCGGAAUUAUUGGGCGUAAAGGGCGCGUAGGCGGUUUUUUAAGUCGGAUGUGCAAUCCCUGGGCUCAACCCAGGAACUGCAUCCGAGACUGGAAGGCUAGAGUACUGGAGAGGGUGGUGGAAUUCCUCGUGUAGCGGUGAAAUGCGUAGAUAUCGUGAGGAACACCAGAGGCGAAGGCGGUUACCUGGACAAUUACUGACGCUCAGGCACGAAAGCAUGGGGAGCAAAAGGG